This 117-nucleotide ribosomal RNA is filed under the name Sinocyclocheilus anshuiensis. The record is from RNAcentral. Lineage: Eukaryota; Metazoa; Chordata; Actinopteri; Cypriniformes; Cyprinidae.
UGUAUUAGCUAUAUUAAUACAAUAUGUAUAUAUAUAUGCCCACUGAAGCUAAGCAGGGUUGAGCCUGGUCAGUACCUGGAUGGGAGACCUCCUGAGAAAACUAGGUUGCUGCUGGAA